This is an RNA transcript of Oncorhynchus kisutch (coho salmon), 5133 nucleotides long. It is a transcript of the gene named cyclin-T2, with no coding region annotated. NCBI's taxonomy places the organism in Eukaryota, Metazoa, Chordata, Actinopteri, Salmoniformes, Salmonidae. The transcript has 8 exons. The record is from RefSeq and is a predicted model, not a curated record.
CGACUUUGAGCCUGCAAGUUUGGACAGAAUGGACCUAUUAUCAUAUCCAUGAUUCUCCACAAUUUGUGAGAGAUUUUUUUAUUUGCUAUAUUGAAAGUUAAAAUAGUGCUAAUUUGCUGAGAAAUUGGUUUACUAGUCCUAGGAGAGUAGCCAACACGCAUGCGCGUUUUGUUUCCUACGCUCCCUACCCUCUCGAGCCACCAGGGGCUAGUCGUUGGAGCGCAAUGGCGGUGCACCGGGGACCUUCUUCGAAAUGGCUCUUUUCCCGGGAGCAACUAGAAACAACGCCGUCCCGCCGCAGUGGAGUCGAAUCUGAUAGGGAACUUUCUUACCGACAGCAAGCCGCCAACCUAAUUCAGGAUAUGGGCCAGAGACUCAACGUCUCUCAACUCAUCAUCAACACUGCAAUCGUUUACAUGCAUAGAUUUUAUAUGAUUCACUCUUUCACUAAGUUUCAUAGGAAUAUCAUCUCCCAAACAACCUUGUUCUUGGCUGCGAAGGUGGAGGAACAACCCAGGAAGCUUGAACAUGUCAUCAAAGUGGCCCACGCCUGCGUUAACCCCCAGGAUGCCCCACUAGACACCAAGAGUAAUGCCUACCAUCAGCAAGCUCAGGAGCUGGUGAUACUAGAAACGAUAGUACUGCAGACGCUAGGUUUUGAAAUAACGAUUGAACAUCCUCACACUGAUGUUGUGAGAUGUUCCCAGCUAGUGCGAGCAAGCAAGGAUUUGGCACAGACUUCCUAUUUCAUGGCUACCAACAGGUUGUUAUCCUGACCCCGCCCCCCCACUAUGUUGCACUGUGAUGGCACACUAUAGCUUCCUGUACUGGCAGGUCCCCCUUCCUGUGUCCAACGCCCUCUUUGCGCCAGGCAGGUUUCUGGUAAACCCCUAGGGGCGGUACCGGACAGCCAGCCAGGCUGCAGCAGUGCGGUGUAUUGUACAAGGGCUCAGUGUUGGCACAUAGGGGUUGAAUGCACAAUGUGAACGUGUUGGUUGUGCUGUAGACUGUCCUCACUGACCGUUUGGUUGCUCCAGAGUGCAUAUGUCUCCUCCUUCCUAAAACACAAUUGGUAGCCUGAAUAUAGCUUGCCACUAAAGAUCAGUGAAAAGAUGUAAACUAUAGCAUCUGUCCCGGUAAGUAUUAAUAACCUUUAGUUUUUUCUUGAUUUAUGUUUGAUAAAUAGAUAGAUAUAUAUAUAUACACACACAAGGGUAACAAGCUAAUUCUUAGUGAUAAUUGACACACCUAAUACUCCAGUAGUAAAAUGAUCAUCCAUAAUUCUCUCUAAUAUAUGAAUGACUUGUAUGCUAUAGGUAUCCUCUUCUUUACCAUAGUAGAAUAUAAACAUUACAGUUCAUUAUUUUCCUAAAUGUAAUUUUAGUAACUGUACUUGCCCUGACUUAGAUGAAUAAUUUUGCUAUCCUAUCAACAGCAGUAUACAAUGUCUGGACAGAGGGCAAAAAAAUGUUAGUUUUUUUACACGGUCAAAAGGCUACUUCCAUAAUGAAUGUAUUGCCCAGAUUUUUGCAAUGCAAGACGAUUGAACCAUUUUGAAAAGGGACAUUUUAAAAAGAAAGUUGGCAAAGGUAUGAGUGAGAUGGCAUAACUUGACAGGCUGGACUGGAACACAGCAGGUGGAUGGUGGACAUCAAUUAUCUCUAGGAAACGAGCUUGAUCCCAAUAAAAUGCUCAGUACUCUCAAAGAACAAGUUUACCGUCUAGGUUGUCCUCAAUGUAUCAGUUUUCUACGGUAAGAUUCUGUAUGAAAUGGUAAGAGAAACAGCCACGAUCAUCCAUCAUAGAAAACCACCUGUGGUACGUGCCUCUGCCACUCACUCUCUCAACAGUCUGGAAUAUGAAGGCAGUAUUAUAAUAUGGACUGUAUGCAUGCAGAUCAGCUGCACUCUGAGCUUUAUUAGACCAGAGACAUGGCUCUAGUCUGGAGACACCAUAGAGAUGUUCAAACCUCUCCCCGGGGACCCCCAGCCCUUCCACAACUAGCACACCUGAUUCAACUUGUCAACUAAUCGUCAAGUCCUUGAUUAGGUGAUUCAACUUGUCAACAAGUCCUUGAUUAGGUGAAUCCGUGCUCUAGUUCAGGGCUGCAAUAGAAUUGUGAAACGUCUGGGAUUUCCCGGGGAAAGGUUUGAAAACCAGUUCCAUAUGGGACUUCAGCCAUGUCCCAGGGAUAGUGCUAAUGUCCUGUAUUCCAACCCUAGAACUGUAGCUAACGGGUGUCUCCUCUGUGGUCUUCCCUCCGACAGCCUCCACCUCACCACGUUCUGCCUGCAGCACAAGCCCACAGUCAUCGCCUGCGUCUGCAUCCACCUGGCCUGUAAAUGGUCCAACUGGGAGAUCCCGGUCUCCACUGAUGGGAAACACUGGUGGGAGUAUCUGGACCGCACCGUCACGCUCACACUGCUGGACGAGCUGACCAAUGAAUUCCUGCAGAUUCUGGAGAAGACGCCCAGCAGGCUGAAAAGGAUACGUAACUGGAGGGUAGGUUCUGCUCUCACAACUGGUGCCACACAAGCUGCCAAGAAGCCCAAGAUGGACAGUCAAACGGGCGACACCUCCUUCCAAGGGACCUCCUCAUUGGACGGCAUCACCGGUGUGGCCGGCAGCAACUCAUUCUUCUCUUCGUCUCUGUCAGACUCUGGGGAGAUGGCUUCACUAGACGACAUGUCUAUCCCGUUCCCUCCCUACCAGGCCCUGGCUGGGGACCACGCUGAGCUGCUGGGGCUGGACCAGGGCCUUGCGUUUCUUCCUCAAGCCAUCCCUUCAAAGUACCCAUCAGGCAAACACGAACACAAAACGGCCAGUGCAGGCAAGCACCCACAGGCCCUACCCAAUAACCCCUCGCCCUUCACCCGGCCCCCACAGAAACUCUCCCUGGAUAAGUACAGAGAGAAACAGGCGGCAGACCUGCAGACCAUGCAGAACGGUGUCCGAGAGGAGCAGAGCGGUGUGGACAUGUACCAGUCCCCCGCCCUCCCUCACCACCAGUCCCAUAAAAGACGCUCCCAGCCUGGGCAGGGUGUCUCCCAGCACGGGGACAGCAGGAGGGACAAGGCCAGCUCUAAAAAGACACGAGGUCUCCCACCACAGGCUUCGGCGGUUGAGAACGGCGUUGCGGCCAGCAACGAGGAGCUAAAGAUGAGAAUCAAAGUAUCAGCUGAGAGGGACCAGGGCGGCCAUGUUGGUGUCCCACAGGGCAAAGAGAAGUACAAAGACCACUCUGGCCCCAGCAGACACCCCAAGCACGGCCACUCGCACCCCUAUUCCCUCAGCGGGAACGGCCGAGGGGCCAUCGACCCCGCCCUGGCACUCAGAGUCCUCGGGGGCCAUGGUAGCGACCUAGGGGGCUCCAGUUCCUCCUCCAGGAAACGGGCCAACCCUGACGUCAGUAGUCAUAACAACCACCACCACUCUGCUAAGAGCAGCAGGAGUUCCAAAGGGGCCGGAGGCUCCUCCCACUACUCUUCGGACGGUGGUGGUGGCCCGAGGACUGUGGAGAGACACCACGGUGGCCCGGAGGGGUCAAAUGGAGUGCUGGGGUCUAACGGCCAACACACCGACUACAAAGACACUUUUGACAUGCUGGACUCUCUGCUAAGUGCCCAGGGAAUGAACCUGUAAAUUCAGACAGUCGUUUAGCCUGGGUGCAGGCUGUUUGGCUCUCUUGCCAACUCCGUCCAAAUAUGUUUGGCUUGACAUUUGAGUUGGCAAGACUGGACAAACUAAUCUGGAUAGUAGGCUUGGCAGGAGUUGUUGGAUAGAGAUAAAAUAAUUCUGGAAAAAAAGUUUUUUAUGAUUUAAAACAAGUAAAACAUGAUUUUAUAACUUUGAAGUUAUGUGAAAGUAACUUCGUCACCCAGUCAGUCAGUCAGUCCUGUCCACACACGGUAAUAAUUACUGAUGCUUUAAGGAUCUUCAGAAAUGUCCACAUGAUAUAUACACAGUGCUGUAAUGCUACUUGUCUGCUUGCUAAAAAAACCCCGGGAGCCACAUUCACUGGUUCUGUGAUUGACAAAAUUCCAGAUUUUUAAUUCUGUUCUUUUAAGGGAGAGAUAAAGAGAAGUCUGCGUUUUUAUUAGUUAUUUGUUAUUAAUGAUGUGCAUGUUUCAAUCACAUAAGGGAAGAUAGCAGCCUGGUGGCGGUUCAGUGUCCACGUAAAUGCGUGUACGUUUUUGUAUGUUAAGAAACAACCUUAUUCCUUGAAAUACUCAGGUCUUGAAACAUUUUUUGAUAUAAAGAACGAAAUAAAUCUUCCUCUCUUGGCGUAAUACCUGUAUCUGUAGAGAUGUAUAACUUCUGUCAUGUUGUUGGUUGAAGGCUGCAGAAGUACAGCAUCUAUCUGACUGUAGAGGCUGUUUCAGUGUGCUUGUCUUCUAAUGGGAGGACACGCAAUCCAACUCAUCACACAUGGCUAGUCAGAGGACAUACCAAGGCCCUUUCCCAGAUCACCACCUCAUAGACCCUAUGUGUGUAUCCAAAAUGGCACCCUAUUCCCUAUGUAGGACACUACUUUUUGACCAGGGCCCGCAAAGUUCCCAGCUGGGAAAAACACUGGGUCCUGAUCGAAAGUAGUGUACUACAUAGGGUAUAGUGUGCCGUUUUGAGAGAGACAUCCUUAUGCGCUUGUGGGAUCUCAAGUACUUAGGGUCUAGGGGUUGAUUGGGGACUGGACAUUAUGCUGUCUACUGUCAAACUAAGUGGAUGCCAAAGGCUGUGCCUGUAAAACGUACGGCAGAUUAUUCUAGAGCUAUAAAAGAAGUUUACGUUAUAUCUGCUGUGAAGUGCAUUUAAAAAGAUAUCUCGGCAUAUUUACAAAAAGCCUUGUGAUUGUAACAAGUCGUCAACAAGUUGCUAUUCUUCAAUUUUGAUUAAUGUCUAAUUAACCAACCGCCAUCCUAUGAAAAGAUCUCUAGAGGUGAUUGUAUAUAGGACUGCAGUUCUGAGUUAUAACUAGCUAGUCGGUUGACUUGUUACACCCUCAGACCACACAUUCUAUUCUGCCAUAACAGUGUAUUAGGAGGUCCUAAAGCGGACACUAUUGAACAAAUCCUUAAUAUGUGUACUGGGAACCCAAAUAAAUGUGUAAAACUGUCGUUUUUACACACAAACACA